RNAcentral lists this ribosomal RNA (420 nucleotides) under uncultured Peptoniphilus sp. Its description in RNAcentral is "bacterial SSU rRNA". It matches the Rfam family "Bacterial small subunit ribosomal RNA", at positions 69 to 499 of the family's 1533-position model. The record is from RNAcentral. Lineage: Bacteria; Bacillati; Bacillota; Tissierellia; Tissierellales; Peptoniphilaceae.
ACAGAACCCUUCGGGGCGAAGAUAAAGUGGAUUAGCGGCGGACGGGUGAGUAACACGUGAGUAACCUGCCUUAGACAUUGGGAUAGCCUCGGGAAACCGGGAUUAAUACCAAAUAAAAUCAUAAUGACACAUGUCAUAACGAUCAAAACUCCGGUGGUCUAAGAUGGACUCGCGUCCCAUUAGCUAGUUGGUAGAGUAAAAGCCUACCAAGGCGACGAUGGGUAGCCGGCCUGAGAGGGUGAACGGCCACAUUGGAACUGAGAAACGGUCCAAACUCCUACGGGAGGCAGCAGUGGGGAAUAUUGCACAAUGGAGGGAACUCUGAUGCAGCGACGCCGCGUGAACGAAGAAGGCUUUCGAGUCGUAAAGUUCUUUUAUAUGGGAAGAUAAUGACGGUACCAUAAGAAAAAGCCCCGGCUA